RNA transcript from Solanum stenotomum, 4659 nucleotides. It is a transcript of the gene named disease resistance protein Roq1-like, with no coding region annotated. The transcript is spliced from 6 exons. The record is from RefSeq and is a predicted model, not a curated record. NCBI's taxonomy places the organism in Eukaryota, Viridiplantae, Streptophyta, Magnoliopsida, Solanales, Solanaceae.
GAGACUUUUCUCACCAUAAAUCUGAAAAUUUCCUGUUAGGUUUUAGCAUUCUUUACCAAUGUCUUAUGCUUCAGUCGAUAUGUCUUCGUGUACAAAAGAUUGUAAAUAUGAUGUAUUUUUGAGUUUUAGAGGUGAAGAUACACGCAAAACCUUUGUGAGUCAUCUCUAUGAUGCUCUGCACAGAAAAGGAAUUCAUGUUUUCAAGGAUGAUGAACGACUGGAAACUGGAAAAUCAAUUUCUGAUGAACUUUUAAAAGCCAUAGAACAGUCCAGAAUUGCGAUUGUCAUAUUCUCCAAAAGCUAUGCAUCCUCAACAUGGUGUUUAAAGGAGCUUGCACACAUCAUAAAAUGCCGAAAUGAAUUGGACCAGAAUGUGAUUCCAAUUUUUUAUGAUGUGAGUCCAUCAGAUGUACGCCAUCAAAACUCGCCAUUCGCGGAGGCAUUUUCCCAACACGGGGAAGAAUUUAAAGAUGAUGCGGAAAAGAUUAAAAAUUGGAAGGAUGCAUUUGUGAUUGCUGGAAAUAUAGCAGGGCAUGAUCUGAAAAGUUAUAAGGAUGAGGCUGAUUGUAUCAAAAAACUAAUUGAUGAUAUAUUUCAUAAGUCGCUUCAAGGUAUUUUACACUUUCCGGAAAACUUAGUGGGUAUGAAAUCUCAAAUUGAGGAAGUAAUCUCAUUAUUAGAUCUGGAAUCAAAUGAUGUUUGUUUUAUUGGGAUUUGGGGGAUGGGUGGCAUCGGCAAAACAGAAAUUGCAAGUUUUCUACAUCAGAGACUCCGUCAUCAAUUUGAAGCUGACUGUUUUCUUGGUGAUGUUGGAACAUUGUAUCAGAAAAAUGGACUGACAUGGCUAGAACAAGUAGUCAUCUCCAAGCUCUUGAGGGAAAAGAUGACUCUAACUAGUAAACAUGAAGGGAUGGAUAUUAUAAAGAGUAUGCUUCAUCGGAAGAAAGUUUUGUUCAUUCUCGAUAAUGUAAACCAUCAAGAACAAUUGGAAUGUUUAGUUGGUCGAGCAGAGUGGUUUGGUAGGGGUAGCAGAGUUAUUUUAACAGCAAGAGACAAGCACCUGUUAAUUAGUCAUAUUGGGGAUAACGUGUAUGAAGUCCAACUGUUACCUGAGAAUGAAGCUCUUGAAUUGUUCAGUAGGCAUGCUUUUAGAGAAAAAUCACCAAAGAAGGGUUUUAUGGAACUUUCAAGACAAGUGGUGGAGUAUGCUGGUGGACUCCCUUUAGCUCUUAAAGUUUUGGGCUCUUCUUUUUAUAAACGAGACAGAGAGCAAUGGAGAGACAGAAUUGAUCGACUGAAGAAAAUCCCUCACAGCGAUAUUUUGGGAAAACUUCGGAUUAGUUUUGAUGGACUAGACAAAGAGGAGAAGAGAAUGUUUCUAGAUAUUGCCUGCUUGUACAAUCAUGAAUCAAGAGAUUAUGUGGAACGAGUAUUUAAGAGUUGUGGCAUCCACUUGAUAGGAAUAGAUCAUCUUGUUGAAAAAUCUCUCUUAUCCAUCGAUAGAUAUCCUAGAAUUCUGAUGCAUAAUAUGAUUAGAAAAAUGGGUGAAAAUGUCGCAAGGGAAGAGUAUGCCAACAACAGAAUAUGGCUUCCCGAGGAGGUUCGUGACCUUUUUGCAGGAAAGAUGAAAGUAGAGAAAGUUGAAAGCAUGCGAACUUCAGAGUACCAAUAUUUUAAAGAUGAGGUGUUCAAGAAGAUGCAAAGCUUGCAGGUACUCAAAAUUGAUAAGAAAUAUAGUCUUGUCAAUCAUAGCACUAUCACUUAUCUUCCCUCUAGCUUGCGGUGGAUUGAUUGGGAGAACUAUCGUUCAAGUUCAUUGCCAGAGAAUUUCAAACCAUUAGAUCUCGUUGGGCUUUCUUUAGUAGCUGGUAGUCUUGUCAAACUUUGGCCAAUAUCAAAGAAAUUGAGCAACUUGAAGUAUUUGGAUCUAAGCGACAACCUUGGGUUAACAAAAACCCCUAAUUUUGGUGAUAUUCCAAACUUGGAGACACUAAUUUUAAAGUGGUGUAAGAAUUUGGAAGAAGUUCAUCCAUCUCUUGGACAUUGCAGAAUGCUCACUAUUCUACAUUUAAAGGGUUGUGGCAAACUCAAGAAGCUCCCAAAAUUUGUUUCCAUGGAAUCUCUUGAGACUCUGAACCUUGGAGAAUGCACAAGUUUAGAAAAGUUUCCAAAGAUCUGUGGAGAUAUGCGGAACUUAUCAAAACUCUAUGUAGGAUCCCCUUGGAUAAGAAGCUUGCCCCUGGCUCUCUGUGGCUUAAGCUAUUUGAAUUUGAAAGAUUGUAUAGAUCUUGAAUGUAUUCCAAACACUAUUCAAAAUCUUGAAUCUCUCUGGAUUUCAGGUUGCAAUACAAUUGCAACACUGCCGAACAGCCUCUUUAAAUCAGAGAAAUUAGAGAAACUUGUAAUAGCACAUUGUUCUAGAUUGGCAGAGCUCCCCAUCUCUCUUGGAGCUCAUAAGAAGCUUCUUCGAUUAGACUUGCUCGGAUGUGAAAACCUAAAGAAGCUUCCAAACUCCAUUCAGAUGGAAUCCCUUGUAGAUCUUCAUAUACUUAAUUGCCCAAAAUUAGAUACAUUUUCAGAAAUUAAUGGAGAUAUGUAUAGCUUAUCAGAAUUGUCCCUACAAUCUGCUAGGAUUACAGAACUGCCUUCAUCAAUCGGGAAUCUAAGUGCACUCAAAUUGCUCUCUCUGGUAGGUUGUGAACAUCUUGCAAGUCUACCAAAAAGCCUCUGUAAUUUGAAUAACCUUCGAUGGCUUCGUCUCCGCGGCUGCAACAUACUAGAGAACCUUCCAGAAAACAUUGGUGAUCUGCAAGAGUUGGAGGAACUAGAUGCAAGAGAAACUGCAAUCUCCCAACUGCCUCUCUCCACCACGAAGCUGGGAAAACUGAACACAUUAAAAUUCUCACAUAAACAUUCCUCAAGUUUCGUCUUGUAUCAAGUGUCAGGCUUAUCCUCCUUGACACGGCUUCAUCUCAGUAAUUGCAACAUAUUGGGUGGACUUCCCGAGGAUCUUGGAUCUUUGCACUCUUUGGAAUACUUGAUUGUUAAGAAAAACAAUAUUUCUUGUUUACCUAAAAGCAUCAAGAAGCUCUUAUGCCUCAAAUACCUGAACGUGCAAUUUUGUGAGAGUCUUAAUGAACUACCAAGAGAGCUACCCCCUAAUUUAGAGUUGCUAUAUGCAGAUUAUCAUUUAGCCUUGAAGAGCAUAAGAGACCUACUAAUUAAUUGUUUUAAAUUGAACCUGAUCUUGACAUCAUGGUGUGGUCAUGAAAAAUCUCGAUGCGGAACUAUCUCAACUAACCAAGUUGAUGUGUUGAAGUGCGUACAGCAUUUUCUCAGGGCAUGCAUCCAGUGCCACUUCCACCAAAGGACAUAUUUUUGCAUUUCUUUUCCUGAAGGCAGAGUUCCAGAGUCAUUUGGUUAUCAAUUUAUAAAUCAAAGUAGGAUCUCAAUUAACCUGAACCCAUCUUGGUAUACCGACAAAUUCAUGGGUUUUUCGAUAUGUUGCUAUUCUAAUGGAUGGAAAGCUGGUGUAGAAGCUACUUUGAUCUGCAUAUCUGACCCCGAAAGAAAACAUUCCUUGAAGUGUGACAUUGACCACCAUCGGCUCAAUAGUCUUGCUCCUUCUGUCAUCUUUUUCUACAUACCAUUUAAAACAUGGUGGCUUGCAUCUGACAAUAAAGUAGGGAAGAGCCCACUUGAUUAUUGCCUAUUUGAGGUAUGUACAAUGUCAAGGAGGAAAGCAUAUUGGGGAGUUCGCCUGGAGUAUGAGAAUAAAGUUAGGAGAUGGAGAAGGAAGCACCUAGCAAUGCGAAGUUCCAAGCUCUUUGAAGUUCCGCAAAAAGAUAAUGCAAUGAUGACUGAAAUUGGCUGCUCUGUGGUAUUUGAACAACUAGAGCCGUCAUCCAUUUCUAGUCACUUGCAAGAGUCUAUUGACCAUAACUUCACUACAGAAAGGGGACUUCAUUUUGGGUUUGAAAAUAAAGCUCUAGUGCUGAAUCAAGCAACAAAGGCAGUUCAAAGCGAACAUGAAUCUCAGAAUGUUGAGUUGAUUAGAAUUUGUGAUAGCCCAUUUAGGAAAAUGGUUGGUGCUUCAAGAAAGAGAAAGAGAAAGGAGAAACAAAAAGAGAAAAACAACCUCAAAUCAAUCAAAACUUUUCUGGUCAACAACAGGGACAAAUAAAACUAGGUGCUCUCAUUGUGACAACUAGCAUGAUUUUGAUUGGAUCAUGAGGAACUUCUUUGCUAGCAAAAAGGGUCACUCAAAGAAGAUAGUCACUAAGCAUCUAUUCAAUUUGAUUUUCAGAGCAGAGAGAAGAUAUUGUGGAGCAAUUACUCAACAUCAAAUCCGGGUGCUAGAAGCUAUGCAAGUUUGUUGCUCCUCUAAUUCUUCAUUUUCUUUCUUGAUUCUUUCGGCCUCUGCUUCUAUGUCUCUUUCAUUCUCAGGUUACAGACCAUUUUUACUUUAUCAAUUUUUUCCCUUUAAAAUUUUAUAGUAGUAGGUGAAGUGGAUAUCAUUCAAAAGAUCUUGGGCAAAACCUUAGAAAACGAUACUACCAUUUGUAUGGAAUAUACUAUUUUAGAUAAAUAUGUGUUUUUUAAUGUUGGUGCUACGUGUCUCAGGGUAUAUUUGAUCAGAUGAAGAAAAGGGAACUUUUC